RNAcentral lists this ribosomal RNA (253 nucleotides) under uncultured bacterium. RNAcentral's name for it is "partial 16S ribosomal RNA". It matches the Rfam family "Bacterial small subunit ribosomal RNA", at positions 524 to 776 of the family's 1533-position model. The record is from RNAcentral.
UACGUAGGUGGCAAGCGUUGUCCGGAAUUAUUGGGCGUAAAGCGCGCGCAGGCGGCUUCUUAAGUCUGAUGUGAAAUCUCGGGGCUCAACCCCGAGCGGCCAUUGGAAACUGGGGAGCUUGAGUGCAGAAGAGGAGAGUGGAAUUCCACGUGUAGCGGUGAAAUGCGUAGAUAUGUGGAGGAACACCAGUGGCGAAGGCGACUCUCUGGUCUGUAACUGACGCUGAGGCGCGAAAGCGUGGGGAGCAAACAGG